UGGGGAAUAUUGGACAAUGGGGGAAACCCUGAUCCAGCCAUCCCGCGUGUAUGAUGAAGGCCUUCGGGUUGUAAAGUACUUUUGGCAGAGAAGAAAAGGUAUCUCCUAAUACGAGAUACUGCUGACGGUAUCUGCAGAAUAAGCACCGGCUAACUACGUGCCAGCAGCCGCGGUAAUACGUAGGGUGCAAGCGUUAAUCGGAAUUACUGGGCGUAAAGCGUGUGUAGGCGGUUCGGAAAGAAAGAUGUGAAAUCCCAGGGCUCAACCUUGGAACUGCAUUUUUAACUGCCGAGCUAGAGUAUGUCAGAGGGGGGUAGAAUUCCACGUGUAGCAGUGAAAUGCGUAGAUAUGUGGAGGAAUACCGAUGGCGAAGGCAGCCCCCUGGGAUAAUACUGACGCUCAGACACGAAAGCGUGGGGAGCAAACAG
This 428-nucleotide ribosomal RNA is filed under the name uncultured Alcaligenes sp. RNAcentral describes it as "bacterial SSU rRNA". It matches the Rfam family "Bacterial small subunit ribosomal RNA", at positions 355 to 775 of the family's 1533-position model. The record is from RNAcentral. Lineage: Bacteria; Pseudomonadati; Pseudomonadota; Betaproteobacteria; Burkholderiales; Alcaligenaceae.